UACAUGGGGUGCAAACGUUGCUCGGAAUUAUUGGGCGUAAAGCGUGCGCAGGCGGCCGAGCAAGUCGAGUGUGAAAGCCCCGGGCUUAACUUGGGAAUUGCGCUCGAAACUACUUGGCUGGAGUGUGGCAGAGGAAGGUGGAAUUCCAGGUGUAGCGGUGAAAUGCGUAGAGAUCUGGAGGAACACCGAUGGCGAAGGCAGCCUUCUGGGCCAACACUGACGCUCAUGCACGAAAGCGUGGGGAGCAAACAGG
Molecule: ribosomal RNA, 253 nt
Filed under: uncultured bacterium
Lineage: Bacteria
Description: partial 16S ribosomal RNA
Rfam family: Bacterial small subunit ribosomal RNA
Source: RNAcentral